Molecule: long non-coding RNA, 317 nt
Filed under: Nicotiana benthamiana
Lineage: Eukaryota; Viridiplantae; Streptophyta; Magnoliopsida; Solanales; Solanaceae
Description: long non-coding RNA (NBEN_LNC025815)
Source: RNAcentral
AGAAGUACUGAAUAUCAAACCGUAUGCUGUACACAUUUUCCUUUGAGGAGUUAUAAAUAUAUCGAGUGUAACUUACUAAAUAACCCCCUCUAUGCUUUGAUGAACCAAAGCAUUUACACAUUGAAAUCGUCAAAAAUGCCCCCACUCAUCUCUAGCGGUGUACAUAGAUCGGGUUGGUUCAGAUUUUACAAUUAUCAAACCAAACCAAUUAUGCCGGGUUAUUAAAUCUAUAGACCAAAUCAAACCAAUAAAUUCGGGUUUUUCAAUAUCGGUUUUCCUCGGUUUUUUCGGGUUUUCGGGUUUUUCGGGUUUUUUCG